UGGGGAAUUUUGGACAAUGGGCGCAAGCCUGAUCCAGCCAUGCCGCGUGCGGGAAGAAGGCCUUCGGGUUGUAAACCGCUUUUGUCAGGGAAGAAAUCUUCUGAGUUAAUACCUCGGGAGGAUGACGGUACCUGAAGAAUAAGCACCGGCUAACUACGUGCCAGCAGCCGCGGUAAUACGUAGGGUGCAAGCGUUAAUCGGAAUUACUGGGCGUAAAGCGUGCGCAGGCGGUUUUGUAAGACAGAGGUGAAAUCCCCGGGCUCAACCUGGGAACUGCCUUUGUGACUGCAAGGCUUGAGUGCGGCAGAGGGGGGAUGGAAUUCCGCGUGUAGCAGUGAAAUGCGUAGAUAUGCGGAGGAACACCGAUGGCGAAGGCAAUCCCCUGGGCCUGCACUGACGCUCAUGCACGAAAAGCGUGGGGAGCAAAACAGGAUUAGAUACCCCUGGUAGUCCACG
Molecule: ribosomal RNA, 456 nt
Filed under: uncultured bacterium
Lineage: Bacteria
Description: partial 16S ribosomal RNA
Rfam family: Bacterial small subunit ribosomal RNA
Source: RNAcentral